CGCGCUGCCUCGGGGCGGGGUCACGUGGGCGGGUGGUGCUCCCGGCCGGGUGACCCAGGGAACCUCACUGGACAGGGCGCCCCAGCCCCGGGGCAGGCGACGAGGAAGAGAGCCGCUGAGGCUCACCUUGGAGCACACACCUGAGGCUGCACACCUGGCUCCUGGUCCAGUUUGGUGGUUUGAAGACCCACCACACGCAGCCCACCUGGAUGGGGUCCCACCUUAAAUUUGCAGCACACACUCUGAGGGUUUUGAAGCAAAACCAUGCCUGCUGCAGUGGAGAACUACUCCCUGGUUGAAGGCAACUUGUGGCGCACUUCUGGACUCGAGUAGAGACUCAGUGCCUGAUUAUGGGGCACCAAAUGGCCACGUGACCACAUCUGCCUGUCCUGAGCUAGAGAUCGACAGGUCCAUGAAGUCAACAGGUUAGGCAGGCUCAGUAGCAAUUCAUUGCACAGUGAAAAAGAAUUGGAUCCCAGCUUGUCCAGAGAGCACCAGUCAUUUAUAGGAUGAGGCGGCUGUGGCUUCCACGUCUCCUACGCUGUUGCCCCGAUGCCUCUGCCUUAGGAGACAGAAAGGAAAAUUCCGAUCUUCUGGUUCACAGGGAGAGAGUGGAGUGGACAGAGCUGUGGUCUAAGGAAAGAAUGCACGUGAAUUUCUGAGUGGUGACAGAUGUCUCUUUGGCUGCCCAGGGACGUGGGAAGAGCAAGAAGGGAAUGCUGGAGACAAGUCUGGGAAAGAUGAUGUGGAAGUCCUCACAAAUGUGUGCAUCUGUGUGCCUCAUGUUAAUGUCCACUGCAGAGGGGUCACCGAAUGACAAAAUGACUUGUUGCUUUGUCAGCUUCUGUCCUUGGCUACCCUUGUGCUUGGAUGGUGGGCCCAUGAAUGGAACUGCCAUGGUGGCAGCAGUGCUGGUUGUGUCUACUAGCGUGGGCUCUCUCUUAUCAAGACUUGUGUAAUUAUUACUGUGGCUGAAUUUCCGACCCCUGGUGUGGCACCAUCCCUGGAUGAUUCAGUGACAAGUUGGUUUCAGCAGAUCCUUUCCAUCCAGAAGAGGGCAUUGAUUCAUCCUUAAUGGAAGUGACACCUGCUCUGGAUGUGGGUUUGCUUUCCCAUAUCCACAUAUCCACAAUGUCUUAGGGAAGUAUCGCCAUCCAGAACCUUCAAGAAUGUUGGAUUUACCCACAUGGUAUCAUGCAUAAUAUUACUUUGGAUCAAAGAACUCAUUUUACAAUGAAAGAAAGAUGACAACAUUAUGAAUUGCCAUGGGAGCCACUGCUUCUCUAAUAUCCUGAAUUAGCCUCAAGCAGCCCAUCUGUUAGAAAGAUGGAAUGUUCUCUUAGAGACUUAGCAAAGGUCCCAGCUCUGGGACAGUAGCCUGAAGAGUGGGAUAUAUACCUUGAUUUAAAGCCCAGUGUGAGGUGCUGGGCCCCAGCGGAUACAACAUAUGGAUCCAGGAACAGACACAGGCCUAAGAGCCCAGGAUUGGGGAAAUCUCUCACCGUCGCUCUCAGCGAUCCGUUCGUAGAGUAUGUGCAUUCUGUCUCUAGCAUUAAACUCUGCUACACGGGUAGGGGAUAUUCCAUGAUGGGACCUCCACUGGUUGGAGGGAAGGGCACCCAUACCAGCCUCAGUGUGAACGUUCCAUGAGGUCACUGAACUCAUGCUUGUGAACCAGCAGAAAAAGGAGGGGAUAAUUGAUUUCUUUUUUUAAAAAAUAUUUAUUUAUUCAUGAGAGACACGGGGGUGGGGCAGAGACACAGGCAGAGGGAGAAGCAGGCUCCAUGCAGGGAGCCCGACACGGGACUCGAUCCCAGGACCCUGGGGUCACGCCCUGAGCUGAAGGUAGACGUCCGACCGCUGGGCCACUCAGGCGUCCCGAUAAUUGAUUUCUGAUGAUUGUGAGGAGAUCGGGUCUCUGCUGCUUAGGGACCAUCAAGAGCUUGCAUGGGACUUUGAGGAUUUACCUGGAUCUAUCUGGUUGCUUCCAUGCCAAGCGAUAACAGCGAAAAGCAUUUUCAUCGGCCUCAGCCUACCAAGGGCAAGAGAGGUUUCAUGAGUAACCCCAUGAAAUGCUGGCUAAGGGCGAGAGAAAUCUAGAAUAGGCAGGGAAGGAAAAUGAGUAUCAGAGCCCCAGGAGCAGCUGCAGGAGUGUGGACUAUUUUUGUUGUAUCGAGGCUUGCAUAGAGGCUGUGGCCAGGCUUCCUCUGGAAGACUCAUGACAGAUGGGACUUUCUGUGGUGCCCGAGUACAUCUGAGGGAUGUAUGUGCUGCUGUGCUGACUGAUGCCCUCGGCGCACCUUAAAUCACAGAGGAUCUGCAGAGCUACACUCUGGCACCUGCUGUGUGUCUUCAGCGUCUGCCCUCCUCUGAUGCCAGCACAGCCCAGGUGUCUGGAGGCGACCUCAGGGGCGGGGGACUGGAGGCAGUGGGUGAAUAAUGGGGCAGUCGCAGGAGGGCCGGUGAAGUCAGGGUUGUUCGCCGGCAGUGACCUCAGGAACACUGUGCUUUGGUUCCUCCUUUUCUUGCUCAGCCCCUCCCUCACUUCUGUUUCAGGAGAUCAGUUCCUGAACAAACCACGUACGCCCAAGUCUUCGUCAUAGGCUCUGCUUUCCAAAGAACCCAAACAAAGACACACCAUAAAAGAACAAAGAUUUUUGCCAAUUUAUAUCCACAAAAAAAAAAAAAAAAUACUGGAGAAUAUGUGUGGGGAUGGAUUACAAGGAUACAAAGCCAAGAACUAACUGUGGAUUAGUUCAAAUUUAUUAACAUGGGUGUAGUUACUCCAAAGAGAUUUUGGAUUCGGUGUUUUGGCUAAAUCCUGGGGAUUAGUUAUAACUGUGCUUAGCUGGCUGAACGGAGCCUGGACUCUGGUGGCCAGCCCCGUGAGACGGUGUGAACGUGCUGGAGUGGAUUUGUCGUGUGUAUGUGGCCCCCAGUCUCCUCUGUUUGUUUCCCUUCAUUAGUCCAUUAUGUUGAUUAAAGAAUAUGUUAGGUUACGUCAUGGGGAUGCCUGGGAGGCUCAGGGGUUGAGCGUCUGCCUCCGGCCCAGGGCGUGACCCCAGGGUCCCGGGAUCGAGUCCUGCAUCGGGCUCCCCACAGGGAGCCUGCUUCUCCCUCUGCCUGUGUCUCUGCCUCUCUAUGUGUGUCUCAGGAAUAAAUAAAUAAAAUCUUUAAAAACAAACAAACACCACCAACAGCAGAGCUAUAGUCUUUCACGGUUCUGGAGGCCCGAAGUUUGAAAUCCGGAUCAGUGGGCUGGAGUCAAGGUGGCAGGAGGGCUGCAGCCCCUCGGAGGCCCUGCCAUGGAAUCCGCCCCUUGCCCGUCUUCAGCCGUCGCCCACCGCUGCGGGCUCUGCGUCUUCCUCCGACAGUGAUCUGCUUCUCUUGUAAGGACACUUGUGAUCACAUCAGGAACACCUCCUCAUCUCCAAAGCCUUAAUGCAAUCAUUUCUGUGAGAUCCUUUUUCCGGAUAAGGUCUCAAGGACAGGCCCCAGGUUAGGAUGUAGACAGUUUCCUCUGCUCCUGCCCUCGGUGCUUCCAGCUCCUUGCUCCACGGGGUUCCAGUCCUGGGUAUUGCGGCUAAAAUGUUGAGCCCUUGCCUAAUUUUUCUCCCUUGGAUGUGAUUUCAGCCCGCAUGUUUGAAGAAGUGUGAUUAUGCCUGUUUAUUGAUGGAAAUGAUCCAGAAGAGAAGGAGACAUUGAUGAUGCAAGAGGGAAGGGCUUGGAUGGGCGACGAGAACAGCAGGAGGGUCACUAGCCUGGAGAUCUCUGGUCUCAGAACAUGGCCCCCAAUUCCUUGACACUCCUCCCACUGAGAGGUGGGUCUGUGAUCUCUUUCUCUCGAAUCGCGAUGUGCUCAGGACUGCUUUGACCAACAGGUAGGGCCAAAGUGAUGCCAUAGGACUUCCAAAGCUCUACCAGAAAGGCCAUGCAGUUUCUGCCUGGGCCUCCUAGGACACUCACUCUCGAGGAAGCCAGCCUUCUUGUGAAAAGUCCAAACACCCCGAGACCACCAUGCUGGGAAGGCCGGGGGAGGUUGCUGGUGGACAGUGCCAGCCGUGCUCUCAGCAAUAGUCACCAUCUCCGGGCAGCCUUGGAGCGGGCCCUCUUGGACAUCCAGGCCAGCUACUGCUGACUGUAACCACACCACACAAGAAGCCCCAGACAAUGACUUUUGAAUUCCAAAUUUAUGACUGCAAGACUGUAAGCAGAAUAAAAUGCUUGUUUUAAUCCACUAAA
Molecule: long non-coding RNA, 4242 nt
Organism: Canis lupus familiaris (dog)
Lineage: Eukaryota; Metazoa; Chordata; Mammalia; Carnivora; Canidae
Exons: 5
Source: RefSeq, a predicted model, not a curated record